GUCAGAACACAGGACUACUCAGAGAAGACUAGGUCAGAACACAGGACUACUCAGAGGAGACUAGGUCAGAACACAGGACUACUCAGAGCAGACUAGGUCAGAACACAGGACUACUCAGAGAAGACUAGGUCAGAACACAGGACUACUCAGAGGAGACUAGGUCAGAACACAGGACUACUCAGAGAAGACUAGGUCAGAACACAGGACUACUCAGAGAAGACUAGGUCAGAACACAGGACUACUCAGAGGAGACUAGGUCAGAACACAGGACUACUCAGAGAAGACUAGGUCAGAACACAGGACUACUCAGAGAUGAG
RNAcentral lists this long non-coding RNA (317 nucleotides) under Salmo salar (Atlantic salmon). RNAcentral describes it as "lncRNA (ENSSSAG00000122116.1)". The record is from RNAcentral. Lineage: Eukaryota; Metazoa; Chordata; Actinopteri; Salmoniformes; Salmonidae.